GGGGCUGUAGCUCAGUUGGGAGAGCACCUGCUUUGCAAGCAGGGGGUCGUCGGUUCGAUCCCGUCCAGCUCCA
Betaproteobacteria bacterium GR16-43 is the source of this 73-nucleotide non-coding RNA. The record is from Rfam. NCBI's taxonomy places the organism in Bacteria, Pseudomonadati, Pseudomonadota, Betaproteobacteria.